This 465-nucleotide ribosomal RNA is filed under the name uncultured bacterium. Its description in RNAcentral is "partial 16S ribosomal RNA". It matches the Rfam family "Bacterial small subunit ribosomal RNA", at positions 28 to 507 of the family's 1533-position model. The record is from RNAcentral.
GACGAACGCUGGCGGCGUGCUUAACACAUGCAAGUCGAACGGAAAGGCCCUGCUUGCAGGGUACUCGAGUGGCGAACGGGUGAGUAACACGUUGGUGAUCUGCCCUUCACUUCGGGAUAAGCCUGGGAAACUGGGUCUAAUACCGGAUAGGAGCCAUUUUUAGUGUGAUGGUUGGAAAGUUUUUUCGGUGUAGGAUGAGGUCGCGGCCUAUCAGCUUGUUGGUGGGGUAAUGGCCUACCAAGGCGGCGACGGGUAGCCGGCCUGAGAGGGUGGACGGCCACAUUGGGACUGAGAUACGGCCCAGACUCCGACGGGAGGCAGAAGUGGGGAAGAUUGCACAAUGGGCGCAAGCGUGAUGCAGCGACGCCGCGGGCGGGAGGACGGCCUACGGGUUGGAAUCGUAUUUCGCUAGGGACGAAGCUUUUUGUGACGGUACCUAGAGAAGAAGCACCGGCUAACUACGUG